GUGAGCCCAGCCUGGGGAUCUCUCACCUCUUGCUGAGAUGCGCCCAGAGCCUAUCAAAUCCAGCCAUCACAUCUUUACUGAAGAUAGGAAUAUGAGGGAAAGGGGCAGUGUCAGGGAUAGCUGAUCCCUUUCAUCAAGAAAGCAAAAGUUUCCCAAAAGGCCCAGCAGAUUUCUGCUUGUAUCUCAUCAGCCAAAACUUCAUCACAAAGCAACUCCUGCUAAAGGAAGCUGAGAAAGUGAUGGAGUCUCCCCCAGUUUGCAGGCUUCAGUGAGGACAACGAGGAGCCCACAGUCAACCCGCAGGGACAUACAUCACGCGAAAGAAAAAUGUCUUUGUGAUUUUAAGCCACUAAGAUUUCGGGGUUGUUGAGCAACAUAACCUAGCUCAUCCUGACCAUCCACCAUCUCUCCAAGCAAGACAUCCCGUCAUCGUCCCUGAUUUACUUGUGAAGAAACUGAGGUCUUCAAAAUCGUUGUGGGCCUUUUCACCUCGGAGAUUCACAUUCUUCGGUUCUGCAAGAUUUUCUUCUUUCCCCAUGAGUGUACUUCACUGGACUGGAAGCUUUGUGGAGGCAGGGGCCAGACAGAUCUUGCUCCUCAUUCAUUUAUGGUGCCUAGUGUAGUGUAGUACUUGGAGCCCAAUGUCUAUGUGAAUGAAUGAAUGAAUGAAUGCAGGAGAAGAACAUGUACACUUUGGG
RNAcentral lists this long non-coding RNA (698 nucleotides) under Equus caballus (horse). RNAcentral describes it as "lncRNA (ENSECAG00000049200.1)". Lineage: Eukaryota; Metazoa; Chordata; Mammalia; Perissodactyla; Equidae. The record is from RNAcentral.